UGGGCUGUAGCUCAGUGGUAGAGGGCUUGCCUAGCAUGCAUGAGGUCUUGGGUUUGAUGCCCCAGCACCACAC
Ictidomys tridecemlineatus (thirteen-lined ground squirrel) is the source of this 73-nucleotide non-coding RNA. The record is from Rfam. NCBI's taxonomy places the organism in Eukaryota, Metazoa, Chordata, Mammalia, Rodentia, Sciuridae.